CUUUCUUUUUUUCCUGCUCAUUUCACUUUGAUUUUGUCUUCUUUUUCUAUUCAAAUUCAAAACUCAAAUAAAAAAAAUAUUGAAAUCAUUCUUCAAUCACCCCGUAUCACGCCUCUUCCUCCUCUAAUUUCUCCUUCGGUUUUGGAAACCAAAUCUCCAUUAUAUACGCCAAACCAUAGCUAGCUAUAUCAAUGCUGCCAUCUUCUUUUGAAAUCUUCAUUUUUUUCUCCAAUCACCACAAGCUUAAGGAGUAGGGUUUUUUAAUCGAACCUUAAUCCCUACCAUGAAUAACAUCAAAUUGAUGGCACAGUACUGAUAUGGUGAUAUGGGGGUAAAUAUUUUGAUGGAGUUCGUCGGAAAAUGAAGUUUUCACAUGGUGACAAUUCCUUAUGAAGCACUUGGAUAGCUGAAUUCAUACCCCAUUGGUUGUCUAAGAGGGGCAUCUUAUCGUAGAGUAGGAAAUCAACAAUACUUAAUGAUAGAGGAGUUACCUGCGUAGGAAUUCGCCAGGUGAUCAACAUCAACACCAAUUUUAGACAAAAUAGAUUGGAGAUAGUUUGAAGAUUUCAAACCAUUCUAUGAUGAAAAGUCCAUAUACGAGGAGGCUUUGAGCAGGGGCAGAUUCGUCAAUCCAGGAGGAGAAGCCCUAUAGAUUAGAAUAUCCAAAUAUAGAGCAUCUACACAAUCUACCACACCCUCAAUGCAGCAAAGCAGUAAAUAGGUGCGAUGGUACCACAGAUCCUUUGACGGGGGUAUUUUGUUCCAGAUUUCCAUCAGCUACAGAGCCAUGAUUCCUAACACCAGAUUGUUAGUAUAACUAUUUGCAUUCUUCUUUUGGUUACUUAAAUUGAUCAGCAGUUCAUUGUUGACGGUUUAGGGGAGUUUGGCUGGACUGUCAAGCAACAUCCAUCUUCUUGAUGUGUCAUGGAGUAAAGUGUUGCAUAUGAGGAAUUUACAUCUUUAAUUGUGAGACUUAUGAGGCUUUGAAACCGUAUGUUCCUCAUCUAUGACAUAUCCAAAGACUUCACAUCAUACAAGGUCCAAGUUCCUGGUGUUAUUAUUUUGGAUCAAACAUAUGAAAGGUAAUGUUUCUUUUCUUUUCUUUUGAGCCACCCAUGUUUCUGAUCCUUAAUAUCCAUCGAAAAAGAACAAAGAUGAGGAAGACACACUUGUGCUAUCACAGGAGUAGAUAUAAAUGUAAUUUUUUCUUAAUUAGAGUAUAUUUCCCUCAAAAUAAAUUUAUUAAAAUAGUCUAAACAAAUCAACGCCUAAACAAAGAAGUGGAAUAAUUAAAAUACAUUAUAUAUUUAAAUGAGGGGCAUAAUUGUCAGCAAACUAUAAAAAUAUGUGGAUGCAUAAAAAAAAAUGAUUGGCUCAAAAUAUGUUUUAUUAUUAUUUUUAAUAUUUUUAUGUUAUAUUUUUUAAGAAUAAGAAGCGAUGUUCAUAAUGCCAAAUUUAUAAUGACACUAGAUGGAAAAACAGAAACAAAUGAAAUUCUGUUUUAGCUUCAUCUACAUGUUGCCGAAUAAAUUCAUUAGAUAUGGUAGUUAAUUUCCCUCCAUCAUUCAAUUUAAUGGAUUUUUAUGCGUAGGUUAAUAUGGUUGACAUAAUCAAGUUGUAUUAGUUGAAAAUUCUUGAAUUACCAUGGUCCAUGAAGUUUGCUAAUCCCUCCAAGAACCAUCAAUAUCAGUUUCUGUAAAUAAGAAGGAACAAGGGUCAAAGAAUAACAAAUUGAGAUUGCAGGUUUUCUGAUUUUUUUUGGAGCAUACCAUUGUUUUCUGAUUUGAAGUGUCAAAAUCAUAAGUUUUGAUAUCUUCUCUUGGUAAUUUGAAGUGUGGAAAAUCCAGAACCAAGAAGAAAUCUACAAAUCUCAAUUCGCAUAUAAGGGCCGGCCCAAGCCCAGGGCGAGCUGGGCCAAGGCCCAGGGCAACAUAAUUUGAUGGGGCAUCAUAUUUGAUAUGGGUGUUAUGUGUAUUCAUAUGGGCCAAAGCUUUUAAUCCAACAACUAAAACAUAAGUUUCCAGUCCAUAUGAAAAGAGGCAGCAGAGUCUCCCACACCUAAGCAACAUUCGGCGACAAUUGAAUAUUGAUUUUGGAAUUUGGCAUGCACGAUGCACGCUUUCGACUCCUCGGUCUCCAAGGAAGCAUCGGCACACCUAAUAAUUGAAGACGAGAAGACGAGGCAACCGAGGUUAUGAUUGAAUCGAUCCUCACUGAUGAUCUCACUAUCUCAACUUCUAAUAAACUUAUGGUUCCCUUAAUUUCUUUCUGAGAUUUUGAUUGUGAAUUUAUGAUUGAAUCGGUCCUCCUAAUCAUCUAUUAUCCUUAAUCUCAUUGUUUUCUCUUGACUUUUAAAUUUCAUUGUUUUCGCAUAAAGUGAACUUUUCAAGUUUCAAAGGGCUAUGCUGAAGUUUCAAAGGAUAUAGAGUGCAAUUCGAACUCUUGAUCAUAUAACUAAGUGAAUGAUUUGAUUUGAA
Molecule: non-coding RNA, 2477 nt
Organism: Lactuca sativa (garden lettuce)
Lineage: Eukaryota; Viridiplantae; Streptophyta; Magnoliopsida; Asterales; Asteraceae
Source: RefSeq, a predicted model, not a curated record